ACCAAUGAUGACUUCCAUACAUGCAUUCCUUGGAAAGCUGAACAAAAUGAGUGGGAACUCUGUACUAUCAUCUUAGUUGAACUGAGGUCCACCGGGGGCUAUAGAGGGACAACUGUCAUUUUUUUUGAUGCCCGUUGCAUGAAGCAUUCUUCCAGGCUUAGGAAGGGAUUCCGUUUGGGUGAAGGAGAGUCACAGGGGAGUUGAGGCUAUGUGCACAGGACUUCUGUCUACAAGGCUGGGGUAGCACACAUGCAGUCCGUGGGACUAGGUGAAUGUGCAGGUUGCUCAGGGAGAGUUAACCUGUAGCCUGCCUCUGGGUGGCCAAGAUUGUCCUUGACUCCUGGCUCUGGGUUCCCACAACCCCUGGAGGAAGACAAGUAAUUGUGCUUGGGAAGAGAGAACAAGGCCAUACUUUUGCCUUUCUUUUUUUCAUUCUUAGUUUGAGAACAGUGGAGUUCCAAUCACCUGGCAUAGCUUUCAUGUUGUGUUCCAUGCAUUGUGAGUACAUGCAUAUGGCAGGAACACACAGGUUCCCACUGCAAGCUGAGCCUGAUAGGCAAGGAGUCUCUAGCUUAACCCCAGCCCAGUGUACGUCAAUGGCUUCCUCAUUAAAAUUGCAUGGCCCUGUAGCUUUUGUGAGUGACAUUAUAGGUAUCGAUGUAAGGGUGUUGAGAGGGAUGCUCAAUGUCAGUGCUCUUUAGUGUGCUGAUGCACUACUACAAGGGCACCUGAGCCCUUGUCCAUGCAUUUCUGUGUCCAAAAUCAGGUAAAGCCAGAGUUGGGUAUCAACCAGAUACACUGCAGGGGAUCAGAGGACAUGGCCUUUGUGUACUGCACAUCUGUCAGAUUUUCUCAAGCACACCCGUGUUUCCUCUUCACCUCCCACGUGGAAGUGAUGAAUUGGCCAGGACCAUGUUGGUGAGGGACAAUCAUCAUCUCAUGUUAACCUCAGAGAAGCCAGGAAGCUCCUGGACACACAUGGUGUAGGCUUCCUUGGAGGCUGUUGGAUCUCUCCUGAAUGUAGUGUUGGUGUAAAAGGCAAACCCGUGUCAUGAGGGAUGGUCAUCAUCUUGUGUGAUCCUUGGAGAUGGCAGGAAGCCCUGGACAUACAUGGUGUGGGGGCUCCUCCAGAGGCUGUUGGGAUCCUCCUGGAUGUGGUGUGGGCAUGGAAGGAAGGCCAGUGGAGACAAUGGAUGAUCUUGUUCUUAGCAGAUCACUGGAUGUGGCAGGGAGUCCUAGGACAUGUGUGGUGUGGGCUUCUUCAGGUGCUGGUGGUGUUGGCAUGAGGAAAGGAGGUAUCUUCGAGGGACAAUCUUCUUCUUGUGCGAUCCUUGGAGAUGCCAUGAGGCCCCUGGACACAUGUGGUGUGGGCUCCUUUGGAGGCUGUUGUAUCCCUUCUGAAUGUGGUGUUGGCAUGAAAGGCAGGCUUGUAUCAUGAGGAAUGAUUGUCAUCUUGUCUGAUUCUUGGAGAUGGCAGGAAGCCCCUGGAAACACAUGGUGUGGACUCUUUCACAGGCUGUUGAAACCCUCCUGAAUGUAAGUGAUUUCAUUCCAAAGCACCCUGAGUUUCCUCAUUUGCAGGGAUGAAACCUGUGUGUGGAUCGAUGAUGACUUCCAUAUAUACAUUCCUUGGAAAGCUGAACAAAAUGAGUGAAAACUCUAUACUGUCAUCCUCGUCGAACUGAGGUCCAGCACAUUACUCCAACAGGGGCUAGACAGAGAAGGCCAACAUCCGUUUGUUGACAUGGGUUAUAUCAAGGCGUCUGUUCAGGCUUAGAAUGUGGUCUCUUAUGGGUGAUGGGGGUCACAGGAGAGUGGUGGCUCCCAUGUAUAGGAAAUUUCUUGUUUGAAGGACUGUCAGUGAGGGUGGGUAACACAUGCAUUGUCUGCAGGACUAGGUGAAUGUCCAUGUGGCCUAGCAAGAGUUAGCUGGUAGCCCGCCUCUGGUUGCCAAUUUGUUCUUGAGUCCUUGUUCUGGGUUCUCAGGUCCCACGGAGGAAAACAGAUCUGUGUGGUUGAGAGGUGGGUACAAGGCCGCAUCUUUGUCAUUUGUUGGCUAACUUUGUCCUUGGUUGAGGACAUUAGAGUUUUGGUCACCAGGCAUAGCCUAUGUGCCUUUGUGCCCGUGUUGUAUCCCACGUGUUUUGAGGACAUGUAUUUUGCACGUAAAGGUGAGCUCCUGCUCCAAGCUGGUUCUGAUACCAAAGGAGUCCCUGGCUUAUCCUAAACUCAUGGUAGGUUAAAGCCUUCCUCCUUAGGGGUUCAGGGCCGCAAGGCUUUUGUGAGUGGCAUUGCAGGCGUUGAAGCAGUGAUGUUGAGAGGGAUGGUCAAUGUCAGUGCUCUUUAGCAGGAUGGUGUACUGCAGGGGCCCCCAGCCCCGAGACGAGCAUCCCUGCAUCCAUGCAUUUCUGCCUCCAUGAACAGGGGAGGCCAGAGACAGGCAGAUAGUAGAUAAAUUGCAGGGGACUGGAUGACAUGGCCCUCGUGACCUGUGCACCUGUCUGUCUUUCUGAAGCACGCCUGUGUUAACUCUGCACCUCCCAGGUAGCACUGGCAUGGAGGGCAGGCACAUGUUGGUGAGGGACAAUUGUUACCUUGUGUGAGCUGCGGAGAUACCAGGAAGCCCCUGGACACAAAUGGCAAAGGCUCCUUCGGAAGUUGUUGGAUCCCUUCUGAAUGUAAGCACUUCUUUCCCAGAGCACUCUGAGUUUCCUCAUUUGCAGGGACAAAUACUGUGCGUGGAUCGAUGAUGACUUCCACAUAUACAUUCCUUGGAAAGCUGAACAAAAUGAGUGAAAACUCUAUACCGUCAUCCUCGUCGAACUGAGGUCCAGCACGUGGCUCCAACUGGAGCUGGAGAGAGAGAGACAACUUCCAUUGGUUGAUGUGGGUUGCACUAAGCCAUCCAUCCAGGCUUAGGAUGGGGUCCACUUUGGAUCAAAGGGAGUCACAGGGCAGUAGGUGCUCCUGUGCAGAGGAGAUUCCUUGUGUGAAGGACUUCUCUUUGUGAGGCUGGGUAGCACGCACAAUGUCU
Molecule: long non-coding RNA, 3034 nt
Filed under: Homo sapiens (human)
Lineage: Eukaryota; Metazoa; Chordata; Mammalia; Primates; Hominidae
Description: HSALNT0380144
Rfam family: Small nucleolar RNA SNORD116 (bases 2741-2832)
Source: RNAcentral